GAAUAAACCUCCAGAGAGAACAUACGACUAGAGUGGCAACAGUUGAGAUGCCUGGGCAACCAACUAGAUCGAAAACUCGGGGGAGAAAGUAGGAAGCUAAGUGGCAACGUGAUUCAGAAGCGAAGAAAACUGAGCUGUAACGCAGCCACGAACGAAUGACAUUCUGACUACAUAGCACAGUGCUUUACAGUUCACAAAGCGCUCUCGAAGCGACAUGAAAUCAGCGGCGACACAACCCGACGACGGAACAGUGAGGAGGAAAACGCGGUCCCAGCUGAGACCAGAGCCCUCCAGAAGGAAAAGCAAGUCCGGUUUCGGAUAAGCCGGGGACGAGCUGGAGAGCGCAGAAGUUGGUCUCCAAGAGCACCAGUCCCAGGACUGGCGUCGGCCGGGCAGACGGAAGGGUGGUCAGGACGGGAGCGACAGCGUGGCGGGGGAGCUCGGCCGGGCAGACUGGGACCGAGGGCUGCUGGAAAUUUGGUGAUUUUAAAGCAACAGAAGUUCAUUAUUACCAUUUUGGAGGUUGGAGGUUUGAACUCAAGAUGCCAGCAAGGGGAACUGGCGUUGUGCAACACACUAGGGAUGUUAAUUACAGCUCUGAAGACACAGCACAGUAAACAUGACUCUGGGCUCAGUUAAUGAGUAUGAUUAUCCUUUCAAAACUUGGCUUCAGCAAUUACAUGCUAAUCCAGAGGAGUGUGCAGCAGGGAGACCCGACCCAGGGCCAGUUGCGGCCAGCUCACACCACUGCCUCGGAGAGCUGAGUCACGGGGAGCGCACAACCCCUCUGGAGUUCAGGUGCUACCUCUCUCUAGAGGCUCUGCUCCUGUCUCUAGGGUGGAGCUGAGGCACCGGCAGGAGAACCCGAGAAACCUGAGCCUUCCAGUGACAACAGUUUCUAGAAUUAGAAGCCCAUGUUUCUACCCUCCCAGAAGCUUCCAGUCUUCUCAACACACAAGGAUAUUUCAUGGGAAAAAUGGAAUUAAAAGCCAAGUUCAUUUUGAAUUCAUGUUUUUGCACAACACACAUUUUCCAUGAGCUUCUCUUUCUUCUUUUUUUUAAGAUUUAUUUUUAUUGAAAUGCAGUUACUGAGAGGCAGAGAGAGAGAGAGAGAGAGAGAGAGAGAGAGAGAGAGAGGUCUUCCAUCCACUUCCCAAAUGACAGCAACGGAAACCUGGAGCCAGGAGCUUCUUCUGGGUCUCCCACACAGGUGCAAGGGCUCAAGCAGUUGGGCCAUCUGCAGCUUUCCCAGGUGCAUUAGCAGGGAGCUGGAUCACAGCACAGUAGCUGGGAACCAGCAUUCUGAUAUGAUGGGAUACCAGCAUCACCAAGUGGCUCCUUAACCCACUGGGCCACAAUGCUGUCCCCUGCCCCUAUUGUUGUCUCUGGAUACUAGCCAACUGAAAGAAAGGGAAGAACCUUGGAUCAUAGGCUGAACUCUUCCAAGAUUGGGCCAUAAUGCUAAGUGUCCCAACACCCUGACUUGUUAU
Oryctolagus cuniculus (rabbit) is the source of this 1490-nucleotide non-coding RNA. NCBI's taxonomy places the organism in Eukaryota, Metazoa, Chordata, Mammalia, Lagomorpha, Leporidae. The record is from RefSeq and is a predicted model, not a curated record.